GAGACUAUACUUUCAGGGAUCAUUUCUAUAGUAUCCAACUAGAGGAAUGCACUCGAAAGUGAUCGGCUGAGAUUCUCAGGCAUCCAGGUUAUGGU
This is a small nucleolar RNA of Pseudonaja textilis, 95 nucleotides long. Its record names the gene U3. It matches the Rfam family "Small nucleolar RNA U3". From Rfam's summary of the family: Small nucleolar RNAs (snoRNAs) are involved in the processing and modification of rRNA in the nucleolus. NCBI's taxonomy places the organism in Eukaryota, Metazoa, Chordata, Lepidosauria, Squamata, Elapidae. The record is from Ensembl.